UGCAACUUUAUAUACCAAAUAUACAUUGGCCGCAGUAUGGGCUGUAGUAUAAAUUUUGCUCUAUCUUUACAAACUCAGCAUUUAUGAAUGUUGUAUUGAAACUGGAACUUGAAAAUUGGAUACCUUACAUGUUUAUUACAAAAAAAGUAAGAAAAGAAGUAAAAAAGUCCCUUAUAGGGGUAAAUUCAGUAAAUAAAUAUACGUCAUCAGGGACCGCCCAUUUAGGGGAGAGCUUUCUGUAUAACACUGAAGUCAUAUGCUCUUCUGAUUGGUAGAUAAUGUUUGUAAUAAAUAUUUUUUGGCAGAUGGAUCAAAACUAGAGUUGAAAAAAAAUAAAAAAUAAAUGCUGAAUGUACUAAUUUUUUUUACUACAGGGUUGAAAAGUAUUGGGGGUCAGUUUAGGAAUUCUGUGCGAAUCUACAUUGUUUGUAAACAAGGCCAUGUGAGUGCCCAAAAAUGCCGCAUGACCCUAUGUUUUUAUUAGUGCAAAAGAUAGGGCUACGUUUGUACUUUCAUGAAUGUUAUAUGAAAGUUUCCAAUUUCUAAAGGUAAAUCAGGUAUAAAUUUAAUUUCAUACAUAGAUUAGCAUUAAAGUCAAUGGGAGAUUUUUUACUGAAU
Molecule: long non-coding RNA, 618 nt
Filed under: Mytilus galloprovincialis (Mediterranean mussel)
Lineage: Eukaryota; Metazoa; Mollusca; Bivalvia; Mytilida; Mytilidae
Source: RNAcentral